This is an RNA transcript of Gossypium raimondii (Peruvian cotton), 3088 nucleotides long. It is a transcript of the gene named protein TRANSPARENT TESTA 9, with no coding region annotated. The transcript is spliced from 22 exons. NCBI's taxonomy places the organism in Eukaryota, Viridiplantae, Streptophyta, Magnoliopsida, Malvales, Malvaceae. The record is from RefSeq and is a predicted model, not a curated record.
AAACCAAAGCAAAAGCCUCACUGCACUUCCCAUGCCGCGCGGACCCAACUCAACCGUAAAAUCCCUUCUUCCAGUAAGCCAAAAUUCGUUCCCCCUCUGCAAUUUCUCUUCUUCUCUUCCUCGAGGGUUUCUUCCCUCCCUAGAAUAAUAAUAAUAAUAAUAAUAAUAAUAGAAAAACAAGAUCUCUUCCAUUUUUCACGAUGUGGCGCUCGCUUUGGCGAUCCAUCGAUCGCUUCUCUCUUCAACAUUUCAAAUCUGUAAUUACCGAAUUGCGGCAGAUCAAAGUUGUCAAUGAGCAGAACAGGGAUACAGUGGUAGAUCUUCUACAAACGAUUGUAGAGAUAGUGACAUAUGGUGACAGACAAGAUCCAUUAAUAUUUGAAUGUUUCAUGGAAUACCAAGUUUUAGCAGAGUUUGUACGGGUACUAAAGAUCAGUACAAGUUCAACAAUUGAGGCUCCAUUGCUUCAAUAUCUAAGCAUAAUGAUCCAAAACAUGGAUAGUGAACAUGCAAUUUACUAUUGUUUAAGCAAUGACUAUGUCAACAACAUUGUAGCACAUCCAUAUAACUUCAAUGCAGGAGAUCUUGCUCUUUAUUAUGUGUCUUUUUUAAGAGCAGUGAGUAGCAAAAUAAGCAGAGAUACACUUUGCCUUCUUGUUAAGGUUCAUGGGGAUGUAGUGGUCUCAUUUCCCAUGUACACUGAAGCUCUUAAAUUUGCUCAACAUGAGGAAAAGAUGAUUCAAACAGCUAUACGAGCAUUAACUCUCAACAUAUACAAUAUCUGUGAUGAUAAUGUCUAUCAGUUUAUAACAACUCCUCCAGCCUCAAUUUACUUCUCAGACUUGGUUUCUAGUUUAAGGAAGCAAUGUCUACAACUAGAUGCCCUUGUCAAUUCCUCAGAGGAUAAAUGCACUCAUCAAAGGAACAAGGACAUAUUUCUGAAAACUGAUAAAAUUGUAGACGAUCUUUUCUACUUCAAGGACAUGCUUUCUGUUGGCGAAUCUCGUUUAAGUAGAGUUGUCACCCAAAACCUUCUGAGUUUACUUAUACUCCCCUUGUUGCUUCCACUACUGAAGUUAGGAGAGAAUAAAGGUAGCUACAACAUCUCAGCAGUCACUUCUUUGUACAUAGUUUCUCGCCUUCUUCAAGUUGUUGGUGGAAAACACUUGAUAAAUGGAGUGGCUGGUCUUCUUUUGUAUCAUUAUAUGGCAUUAUGUCAGAGAGAUGCUAUUGCUACAAAUGGGGAUACUGCUGGUAGCACAGGUGAUGCAAGUCCUCUUCUCCACUCGUUGAAUGAUAUAAACAUCAAGGUAUCUGGUCAUGAGGCUGAAGGAGAAAAAGAAAUCAAUAUAAACUAUCUACUUCAACAUUUAAAUGUGCAAACAUCCUCAAAUUCUCAUUUUGAUGGCAGCCCUAGGGAUGAUAAUGUGUGUAUAGAGAGGUUUGGGAUAUUUGCGUAUUUGUUUUCAGACAAUCAUAGUAUAUCAUUAGCAUCUUUAUUUCUAUUGCUUACUCUUGCAGAAAACAAAGAUCUGGAGCAUUUUCCAGCAUCAUUGCUUGGAAUCAGUCAAAGUCAGGGCUUGAUGAACAACUGUGAGUCAGCUUUUCUGAAAGUGGAUGGAAGUAUUCUUGUGAGACUUAUGCCUCAGAUUUUGAAGACAUUAUUGAAGGUUUUAGCAUGCCAACCACCGGUUUCCCCACCAAUGCAGUGGCAUACAGGGUGGUUUUUGAGAAAGCUACUUCAAUGUCAAGGAAAUAAGCUCACUGAUGACAAUAUCCACCUAUUCAAUACUUCAUAUGAGCAGUCCCGUGAAUGUCUUCAAAAGGAACUUGAUGGAUGCUGGUUUGAUCAUAUCCCAGAUACCAUAGGAAAUGAGUGGGGAAGCUGUAAAAAAGCUCUUGAACUACAAUUCCAUGUUAAGGAUCCCUUAUUUACGCUGGAGCUUGAAAUCUGCCAGCAAGCAAUUGAUGGCAAUUUUAACUCUUGCUUUGCUUGGGAGAGGAUGGUUGAUGCAGUGAAGGUUUUCAUUCUCCAUCUUCAACUCAAGGCACUUAUUUUCAUGGGAUGUUUACUUGAAAAACCCUCACUAGAGUCACCAAGUGACAGUGAUUUGGGUAAAACUUAUAGCAGGGAUAUUUCAUCUGCAAGCUUUGGGUCAGAGGUCUCUUUAGGAUCAGGAAUCCCUUGCAGGAUUGCUUUCUCGUAUGCUGGAGUCAGGGAUAUUUACCUACUAGCAGUGGCCCGUGGAAUUUCUGGAAAAUUGAUUCUUGCCGAGAAGCAUCCAUUCCGGAGUCAACGUGGUGUUGUGAUUGCCAUUGCUCCACUGGCAGGGUUAAGCCAGCCAAGGAUAGAUGAGGACCACCCAACAUGGUUACAUCUUCGGAUAAGAGAAUUCGAACCAAAUUUCGUUAAAGCUAAAGGCGGCCAAUCUAAGGUUUCCACUCCUCCUGCUGAUGGGAGAUGGACACUUGGUUUUCAUAGUGCUAAGGCUUGUGAGACUGCUCGGUUAUUGAUUCUUGAGGAGACUUGUAAGCAGAGGUCCUCCGUUGAGAGCAUGCUUGCUCCACUGCUUCGGGAAGAUUAUCUAGUAAAUGUUUUGGAUAGCCAAGGCGAUUAAAGCUCCAGCCCUAGUUCUAGAUUUGGUGUUGUAACUUAUUGAUUUGCAAUCUUCUAUUUUUGGUGUGGCUUACUGGCUUGUACGAAGCAUCUCAUGUAAAAGUCCAUUUGCCGUCUUAUCAUAUUCAGGAGUGCAGCUAUGGAGCCCCUGCCUUCCUGUCUGAAGUUUUGCAUGUGCACGGCCAACAAAGGUACAGACGAAGCUUUUUGACUGCAGAAAAAUACUCACUGGGGAAAAGAAUAAACAGUUGAGAGUUUUGGAUUAUUUGUUGUAAGCAAUUCCUUGGGUCCUACUUCUCUCCUAUUCCUUUCUCUACACCCCUCACAUACUAUUUGCAAUUAUGCAAUUGCUUCAUCAACAUUUUUUUUCUUAUGUCAACUUUUCAUAUUCAUUUUUAUCAUAGGGUAUCAAUACUUCAAAAUAAAAUGAACAGAAGAUAAAUAUUGUAUGUAAUGUGACCGUCUCAACAA